CACCUACUAGACAGUCUGCUGGGGGCUGAUGGUAAAAAGAUAAUGCAGUUUUCUUCCCUCAGUGGAUACCUGUUUCCAACCAGAACCAAAUUCCAAGACACACUCAGCAAACAGACCUGCACUCUGCUGGGUCAAUUUGAUAAGCUAAUUGGAACUGAAGUGUUACCUAUCAAUGGUGAAUCCAUGAGGGUGCUGAGAGCAGUAGAAAAACACAUAAUUUGGUGUUAAAUGGAAAAAAGUUUAAAGGCUAGUGAAGGCACUUCCUAGCUCUGGUGCUCUGAUAGGCAGCCUCUAAGAGGGCCCAAUACAAACCCCCAUAUGCCCACCACCUAGUUUCAACAAUUAUGCACACAUAGCCAGUCUUGUUUUAUCUCUGUCCCCAAUGUCCAACCCUUGCCUUCAAAGAACACAACAUCCUAGAGGGUAGAACCACACUUUAGUAACCAUGAUAGCACUUUUUUUGUUGUUGAAUUAUAGAGGUGCACACAAAGUCCUGAAGAUCUCCAAUCACAUGUAUGGGUGGUGGGGCAAGAAAUGUCUUUUGAUUUCAAUUAUUUUUAGUGUUGAUGAUUCAAUAAUUUUUAGUGUUGUCGACUUUUUUUUGGCCCAGGAUAUAAUUUAUCAUGAUGAAUUUUCCGUGGUUGCUUGAAAAAAAUUUAUACAACUGAGGCUGAAAAAGUCAGGCAUGAGACCCAGAUAAGGCAUAAUUCAAAAUAUUUAGCACACACUUCCCCCCCCCCCCCCCCCACACACACACACACAGACACCCAGUUCUAUGGAGCUCUAGGCCUCU
Molecule: long non-coding RNA, 793 nt
Filed under: Homo sapiens (human)
Lineage: Eukaryota; Metazoa; Chordata; Mammalia; Primates; Hominidae
Description: non-protein coding lnc-ATP6V1B2-9:1
Source: RNAcentral